AAAGUUUACAGUUGUAGAUUGAUACGGUUGUGGUCAUGCUUGUGAGACCACACUUGCGCCAUUCUCUGCUUGGCUAGUUCGCUUCCGGCCCAACCCGGCCCAUUCAUCUCUCUGUCCCUGUCCGUUCGUCUCGGCUCGAGCGCCGACCCCGAAGGCAGAUCGCCCGCUCCGCUCCCAAUCUCCACUGCCUCCACCCGCUGCGCUUGCUUUCUGUACAGUACCCACCCCCCACCCGCCGUUGCUCAAGAGCGGCGCAGCGAUUCCGGCGACUAGACAUGCGGCGGCCUUCGGCGAGGUAGUCCCAAGUCCCGUUUCCCCCCUUUGCUUUCCUUGUGUACCCUAGCUCUAGGUCUUGGUGAGGUCAACAUGGAUUGCAGUUCAGGGGGUUGAGGAGGAAGUGGGGGAGAAAUCGAUCUGCACCAUUUUCAGUAUCUGCGUGGAAUGAAGUUGGGUAGUUUGGGCUGAUCUGUACUGUUAUCUUAUCUCCCCCGGGAGUCUUCCAGAGUUUCGUCUGCUGCCUUCCCUCCUCAGUAAUACUUGGACUUGGGAUGACUCGACUUCUUAAGUGCUCCGUCGAGACGACGAGUUUCCAUAUGCCUCCUGUUCGAAUUUCAUAAUGGGUUGCAUCGAUCCAACCCCUGAUUUAUUUCACCGCGUUCUCCCGCUCGGGAUAACAUUGUUAGGGACUACAAGAAGUAGAAUACAUAUACACACGGCAUCCCCCUUUUGUAAUUGUUGGUGAGCACAUUAGUUAUCCUUCCAUUAAUUUUGUGAGAGUCCUUGAAUCUGCUUCGUACCCAUGCCUUAACUGCCCUUUCUCAAAAUAGGUUUCACUACAUGUAUGUGCUCUGCUCCAUUGUCUCCGGCUAACCCUGUCCUCUAACCUGAACACUGAUUUGCUAAGCUUGUGGGAGACCAUGUGUUCAGAGCCAGUACUGAAAACCAGAACCAUGCUUAAUGUUAUAGCCUCGUACAUCAUCUGAAAUUUGUGCAAGGAGCGAACUGCUCCGAUCUUCAGCGACACCACCUCUCGCCCCUUGCAUUUGCAUUUCGCCUUGAAGAUUGCAAAUGAUAUGCCACACAUGUUUGCCUUGGCAGAAUAGCCUACGUACUGCUAUCUUUCUUCUCUGUAGUCUAAUUUCUACUUGUUCCCUGCUAGGUUGUAAAUCUUAUCGGUGUUUCAAUUGACUUCAAAGUGAAAUCAACAUACCAAUGGAAUAUCCCAACAUCACAGUGCUUCAAAUCGAUGGUUUCCUCAUCACAGGGAAAUAAAGAAGGUUGUGCCGCACCAAGGUGCUGUGCUGUGGUGGGUCUUGCUGCAGAACCGCCACAACAAGUGACAAAUGACGGUUGUUGUUGACCUCAUUUAGAAAUAAUUGGCAGAUAUGAACAUUUUUAAGCUCAUGACGUGUUAGUGAGUUUGUUAAGAUGGAUGUGGUACUGUGAUACUAGUGUGUUAAGCGGAGCAAAUGUGAAGCUUUGUCAUUUUUUCUUAUAAUGGAUUAAGCCUGGUUCAGUCAGAUUAUAAACUUUGGUCAGUUUACUCUUUGUAAAUCAUGUGUACAAAUUCGAGCAUAAUAAAUUCAUGGGAACAAAAAUCUAUAUCAGUAGCGAGCGCUAUUCUUU
Molecule: long non-coding RNA, 1626 nt
Filed under: Triticum aestivum (bread wheat)
Lineage: Eukaryota; Viridiplantae; Streptophyta; Magnoliopsida; Poales; Poaceae
Description: long non-coding RNA (TAES_LNC026385)
Source: RNAcentral